Ailuropoda melanoleuca (giant panda) is the source of this 88-nucleotide microRNA precursor. Ensembl annotates it as microRNA 29c. The record is from Ensembl. NCBI's taxonomy places the organism in Eukaryota, Metazoa, Chordata, Mammalia, Carnivora, Ursidae.
AUCUCUUACACAGGCUGACCGAUUUCUCCUGGUGUUCAGAGUCUGUUUUUGUCUAGCACCAUUUGAAAUCGGUUAUGAUGUAGGGGGA